GGGAAAGAAGCGGCCUCUUAGACUGCAGCGCUGGAGGGCCUGGCAGUCGGAGGCGGAGACCACUGCUGUGCCUCCAUAGCGUGACUGGGCAGCACACAGCUGUUAGGAGGUGUGGAAAGGCCUCCCAGCUGUGGAAACAGAUGAAAAGAAGCCCUCGCACACAAACAAACAGAAAGCGUGAGGCCCGGGCGGAGCCAUGCGCAGGUCUGUUUAUGUCCGUGAGCUGGCAUCGCGUGCCAGACAAGUGUCACCCGUGUCAACGCCAAUCCCCCAAGCAUAGAAUUGCCUUCCAUAGAGACGUUAGUCAUCACUGUUUACUGGGUCUAACCCAUCGGUUAGCUUCUAAGCUUUGAGAUCCUUAGAAGAAUAACACGGAGGAACUGCAGGGCUGUUUGUGAAUGUGAGCCUCGCUGCCUUUCCUCAGAUUGUGUGGAUGUGGGCCUCACCCCAACCGACAGCCUGCAUUCAAGUAGUGCUGCUUUUGUUUUAUUCACGCCUGUGCUUAGAUGCUGGGUAGGUUUUAUUUUUUAUUAAACUCUUGUGCAAUCCCGUUGUAACACGGAACAUUUUAUUAGACAUUUAAUUCCGCUUUAGAUUUGUACAUUGACCCGAAAGGAUAACGCAGCAUGAACAGCUUUGCAUGCUACCAGGUGGUGUUUAACUGUCAGCCUUUGCCAAAGUCACAACGAGAAGGUGUUCAAAACUGUACAGUUAACGUAACAUGUUUUCAGUUUAACGGUUGCUUAGCGGCAGGUGUUUAACUUUGUGUUUUCCACCCAGGUUAAAAAAACAGUUACAGAAAAUAAUCCAGUGCGUGCGCACAGCGGUGAUUAAAGUUAUUAUAGA
This is a long non-coding RNA of Gasterosteus aculeatus aculeatus (three-spined stickleback), 846 nucleotides long. The record is from Ensembl. NCBI's taxonomy places the organism in Eukaryota, Metazoa, Chordata, Actinopteri, Perciformes, Gasterosteidae.